CUGACAUUGAUGUGCUGAGAUUAGCUGCUGAAAGGGCUGCAACAUGGAACUUGAAGAAAGCAAACUGGAGUCCGUUAUCAGUGACCAGCAUAAAGAGCUACAGUACUAUCGCUGAUACGCAUCUCCAACCUGCAACAGCACAGGUAGAGGCAGACAUUGAGCCCUAGACCUUCCUAUUGUCAUAGCUGCUGGUCAAAUGAGUGCAGAAUGACUGCUAGUGUACGCUCCGGCCCUCCUCAGCCUUUGUCGUUUUGAAUGCCACACAGACAAGAUGGAUGGAUGGAUGGAUGGAUGGAUGGAUGGAUGGAUGGAUGGAUGGAUGGAAUUACUGAAAGAGAAUUAUAAAGUAUAUCCUAGCCGAGAUGUAACAUAAUAAUGUAAGUAGUACCAGUGGAGAUUAAUAAAAAAAUUUUUUUCAAAUGUCCUGUCUUGGCAUUUCAGGCAUACUAUUGUGGAAUAAUAUGCUUAAGUUAUUUUAAUAUUUAAUUAAAUAACUUAAGCAUAUCUGUCUUUGAUUAGGUGAGCGUUUAUGUAGAAAUAGGUGUGUUUGUGUUGAGCAGGUGUAUGUGAACAUGUUUGUCUGGAGCUCACAGUUGUUAUGAU
Molecule: long non-coding RNA, 603 nt
Organism: Girardinichthys multiradiatus
Lineage: Eukaryota; Metazoa; Chordata; Actinopteri; Cyprinodontiformes; Goodeidae
Exons: 3
Source: RefSeq, a predicted model, not a curated record